GAUGAACGCUAGCGGCAGGCUUAACACAUGCAAGUCGAGGGGCAGCACUGGUAGCAAUACCUGGUGGCGACCGGCAAACGGGUGCGGAACACGUACAGAACCUACCUUGAUCUGGGGCAUAGCCCGAAGAAAUUCGGAUUAACUCCCAUAAUAUAAUUGGAUGGCAUCAUUUGGUUAUUAAAAUUUAUUGGAUCGAGAUGGCUGUGCGUCCCAUUAGCUAGUUGGAGGUAACGGCCUACCAAGGCGACGAUGGGUAGCUGGUGUGAGAGCACGACCAGCCACACGGGCACUGAGACACGGGCCCGACUCCUACGGGAGCAGCAGUGAGGAAUAUUGGUCAAUGGACGCAAGUCUGAACCAGCCAUGCCGCGUGAA
RNAcentral lists this ribosomal RNA (375 nucleotides) under uncultured bacterium. RNAcentral describes it as "bacterial SSU rRNA". It matches the Rfam family "Bacterial small subunit ribosomal RNA", at positions 28 to 405 of the family's 1533-position model. The record is from RNAcentral.